Molecule: long non-coding RNA, 2111 nt
Filed under: Pelobates cultripes (western spadefoot toad)
Lineage: Eukaryota; Metazoa; Chordata; Amphibia; Anura; Pelobatidae
Source: RNAcentral
GGGUGCUAGUCACUCCCUGCGGGACUUUCAUUAAUUUCUUCACCUCGAUUCCCAUGUGGUAAUUCCUAAGGCCCAGUUUAAAGAUGGGUUGAUACCCUCCAGUGGCAGAGAGGAGAAUUUCUAAUUGUUUCUGUUCUGCAAAAUGGAUUCAUUUCUGUACUCUCUUCCUCAAUGUACAAGUAAGGUGACAGUUAUAUAAAAUCAUACACAAUAAAAUCAGGACUAUAAUAACAAAAUGAUAGAAGAAUGAUUUCAUUAUCUGAGAUCCAGUAGGGGACCAACCAGUGAAGCAUUGUACCAAUGAUGGGCUAAAUCAUUCUGAAUUUGUGAACUCACCUUAAGGAGUUCUCCUUUUAGGAUAUGUGUGGCUACCUGUGUGUGUUAUCUUUGGGAACAAUAUAGUCCCCUGUGUAUGUGGGUGCCCACCAGGUUAAAUUCUUGGCAAAAAGAUCAUAAACUGGUACUGGUAAUGUGUUAAAUUGACAAGCUAAUUUAACAUCCUUUGAUGAUGUAUGAUAUAAUGUAAAAUAGCAAGAGCAUGAAAAAUGUGAAACAUUACCAGUUAACCAUCCAUUGCAUUUACUGGAUUGGGGUUUUAGAAGUAACCAUUCAUUAUCUGUGAGGUUACGCUUUCCUCUAAUCUUCUCUAGUUUAGGAAUCAUUAGUGUGUUUUCUAAUGCCAAUCUUUGUUGUUGCAUCCAUAAAUACCUGAUGGCACAAGUACUCCAGUUACCGAGAUCUGUGGUGAAUUUCAUAGUUGCAACAGUUAAAUUAUCUAAAUAAUUAUACAUUGAUUUAUCUAAAUCCAAUCCUAUAACCUGUGAUUUAACAACAAUUGGAGCACAGUUUGCAGUAGCAUGGAAACCAGUCCCUAUAUGCAUGCUGGCUGUGUUUAACUUAUUCUUGAGGGUCUCCAUAUCUAUAACUAUUUAGUAUACCCAUAGUGGUUCCAGCACCUCCUAACAGUGUGUCAUACCAUUCCCUUUUCUGCCUUUGUUUGCUGUGUUACAUAAUGUUACAACAGGAGUAGUGACUUUUAAUGACACAUGUACAGCUUGUAAGAAGGCAGUUGUAUUAACACAUGUGGACGGAAUAGGUGUGUGUGUGUCGUUGUUGACUUUUGGUUCUAUGGUAGAGGAUAAAGGACAGUAAUAAGGUGUAAAAAUAUAAGGUAGUGUAUAGUUCUCAAUUGUAGUGUUGUUCAUAAUGACUAACAUUUGUCCCCUUCUCCAAUUAAUGAUACCAGUUAUAUAAUCAUUAUUAAAAGUAAUAAGGCCUGUCUAUUUACAUUGAUAUGCAACCUUAACUGUGCACAUUUCUGCGUUAUAAGAUCUAACAAUUUUCUGUGAACCUUUAAACAAACAUAAUGCAUCGGUUUCAUUAGCUGUAGACACAUUUCAUAUGGGUAACUGGUACUUAUAAGGGUUACUAUUUGUCCAAUUCAUCCAAAUGCGUUCAGUGAAUGAAUGAUUGCAUAUUACAUGCUGAUAGAAAGGUGGUGGAGAAAGGUUCUUGAGGGGGCGUGUAUGACGAAUGCUAGAUGAGGGGCUAAGGCCUAAUUGGGCUGGGGGUAUUGAAGAAUUGUUCAUCAUGUCAGAGUCUUUUUCCAGAACUUGCCAUUGACUUGUACUCAUAAUGGCAUUCAAGGAACAAUAUCAGAGGGAGUAUAACAACUCCAGAAAGCACAGCACACAACAUAAUCUUGGUCUCAGGUACGUAUGAUCCUCUCAAUCUACGAUAUGGUGUAAAAGCCAUGAUGCUUCGCUGAGGAGAAAUUCUUCUGUUUCCGAGCGAGGAGUGGUGUUGUCUUCCUUGGUUCCCCUCUUUGGACACAGCUUCACUUGGGAUGCGUGAAUCCAGAUGUCAUGGGAAUCUGUGAGGACAGCGGUUCUGGUUACAGCAAUCACAGUAGCAGGUGGUCCAAAAGGGUAUCCUCCUUUCUUGGUCCUGUUCAGCUGACGGAUAUACACCUUGUCACCGGGCUGGUAUGAAUGAGUAGGUUCCUGUGAAGGUAAGGGAAAACUGCGAAGAAACAUUGUCAUACAUACCAUUCGGUUUUAUCAACAAUUCCUGUACAUAUUGUUCUUGUAUAAGCUGUAAAUCCCCAGACA